RNAcentral lists this ribosomal RNA (484 nucleotides) under uncultured bacterium. RNAcentral describes it as "bacterial SSU rRNA". It matches the Rfam family "Bacterial small subunit ribosomal RNA", at positions 29 to 506 of the family's 1533-position model. The record is from RNAcentral.
AAUGAACGCUGGCGGCGUGCCUUACACAUGCAAGUCGGAUGUGUCGCAAGACACAUGGCAGACGGGUGAGUAACACGUGGGAAACUUACCUUUUAGUGGGGAAUAACGCUCCGAAAGGAGCGGUAAUACCGCAUAAGACCUAUCGCUGGGAUGCGAUAGAUGAAAGCUGGGGAUCGUAAGACCUAGCGCUGAGAGAGAGUCCUGCGUUUGAUUAGUUAGUUGGUGAGGUAACGGCUCACCAAGACUUCGAUCAGUAGCCGGCCUGAGAGGGCGAUUGGCCCCACUGGAACUGAGACACGGUCCAGACUCCUACGGGAGGCAGCAGUGGGGAAUCUUGCGCAAUGGGCGAAAGCCUGACGCAGCAACGCCGCGUGGGUGAAGAAGGUUUUCGGAUUGUAAAACCCCGUCGUUAGGGACGAAGACAUAAAUCCUAAUACGAUUUAUGUUUCUCUGUAAGGGGAAAAGAAACCCCCGCUAACUCUGU